Molecule: non-coding RNA, 2993 nt
Organism: Danio rerio (zebrafish)
Lineage: Eukaryota; Metazoa; Chordata; Actinopteri; Cypriniformes; Danionidae
Source: RefSeq, a predicted model, not a curated record
AGACAAACAGGGUUAAGAAAGCUGUUGAUUUUGAGGGUUAAGAAAGCUGUCCUAGGUUCAGUUGCAGCGUCUUCAAUUGUCUUGAAUCAUUCACUAAAAUAUCUUUGCCUUUUCCGCACAAUCAGAAUUGACUUAAUCGUUUUGAGGUUCUGUCCACAACCGUAAGAAGGGGGAAAAGAACAAAAAAUGUCUUGUUUUCACAAGGGAAUGUAGCUCAGUGGUAGAGCGCAUGCUUUGCAUGUAUGAGGUCCUUGGUUCAAUACCCAGCAUCUCCAUGAGCCUGUUAAGGUUUUGUCCACAGACAAUAAACAGAGUUAAGAAAGCUGUGGAUGGUCCUAGGUUCAGUUGCAGCGUCUCCAAAUGUCUUGAAUCAUUCACUAAAGUAUCUUUGCCUUUUCUGCACAAUCAGAAUUGACAUAAUCAGUUUUAUGUUCCGUCCACAACACUAGAAAGGAAGAAUAAAAAGAAAAAUAGUCUGUUUUCAACUGGGGAUGUUGCUCAGCGGUAGAGCGCAUGCUUCGCAUGUAUGAAUUCCUCGGUUCAAUCCCCAGCAUCUCCAAGAGCCUUUUGAGCCUUGUCCACAAACAAUAACCAGGAUUAAGAAAGCUGUGGAUGGUCCUAGGUUCAGUUACAGCAUCUCAAAUUGUAUUGAAUCAUUCACUAAAAUAUGUUUGCCUUUUCUGCACAAUCAGAAUUGACAUCAGCAUUUUGAGGUUCCGUCCACAACCGUAAGAAGGGGGAAAAUAAAGAAAAAUGUUUUGUUUUCAACUGGGGAUGUUGCUCAGUGGUAGAGCGCAUGCUUCGCAUGUAUGAAUGCCUCGGUUCAAUCCCCAGCAUCUCCAAGAGCCUUUCGAGGUUCUGUCCACAGACAAUAAACACGGUUAAGAGAGUGGUUUAUGGUCCUAGGUUCAGUUGCACCGUCACCCAUUGUCUUGAAUCAGUCACUAAAAUAUUUUUGUCUUUUCUGCACAAUCAGAAUUGACAUAAUCAUUUUGACCUUCCAUCCACCACAGUAAACAGGUGGAAUGAAAAGAAAAAGUUUCCAAUUUCAACUGGGGAUGUAGAUCAGUGGUAGAGCGUAUGCUUCGCAUGUAUGAGGUCCUUGGUUCAAUCUCCAGCAUCUCCAAGAGCCUUUUGAGCUUCUGUCCACAGACAAUAAACAGGGUUAAGAAAGCUGUGGAUGGUCCUAGGUUCAGUUGCAGCGUCACCAAUUGUCUUGAAUCAUUCACUCAAAUUUGUUUGCCUUUUCAGCACAAUCAGAAUUGACAUCAUCAUUUUGACGUUCCGCCCACAACAGUAAAAAUGUGGAGAAGAAAGAACCGGGGAUGUCGCUCAGUGGUCGAGCGCAUGCUUUGCAUGUAUGAGGACCUGGGUUCAAUCCCCAGCAUCUCCAAGCAUGUUUUGAGGUUCUAGCCAUUAACAAUAAAAAAUUGAAAGGAAAGAAACCACUGCUUGUGCUGCGCAUUUGGACAUUAUCUGUGUAAUGUCCUUGAUUCAGUCCCUAGCAACUCCUAACGUCUUAAAUUAUUCAUUAAUAAAUGAAUGCCUUUCCAGCACAAUCAGAAAUGGCAUCAUUUUCAUUUUGACGUUCCAGCCAUAACCAUAUGAAGGCGUAAUAGAAAGAAAAAUAUCUCUUUAUCAAAUGGGAAUAUAGCUCAGUGGCAGAAGGCAUGCUUCACAUGAAUGAGGUCCUGGGUUCAAUCCCAAACAUCUCAGAGACUAUUUUGGAGUUCUUAAACUAACAAUAAAAACAAUAAAAAAGAAAGAAAACACUGCUUGUGCAUUUGGACAUUAGCUGGGUAAGGUCCUAGAUUCAGUCCCCAGCAUCUUUGGAGGUGGAUUAUACGUGUUUUUUCUGUGCUCUUCAGUUCUUGUGAUUAUUCUUUAUUUAAAAAUAUUUUUUAUUAUUUAAUUUUGAUCAUAAUCGCCCUUUACUGCCACAAAGGGUAUGGCAAAGCCCAAAUAAAAAAAAUUAAAAAAGAGACAAACCUGUUGAAGAUGUCAGUUAGACAACACCCAGACCGUUACCAACUCUACAGAUCGUGUUAAUCUUGCUGACAUUUUAGAGGCUAUUAAAUUAAUGAAUGGCUCUGCUAAUCUUUGGAAUCUACGCUGUCUCAGACGUUGGCCACGCUGUCUGAAGUUCCUUUACGGAGCUCUAAAGAGCAAGUGCAGAUUAUGAGAGCCAAUUCUCCGAACUUGAGGCUCAUUGUCGUAACUGGUUCGAAGCAUGCAAAUCCCUCACAUAUAAAUUAGAUGAUCUUGAAGGCCGUUUGCAGCGACAAAACAUUAAGAUCAUCGAUCUGCCCAAAAAGGUGGAGGAAGGUCAUCUAACUCAAUUUUUGGCAGACUUGCUUGUGCAAAUUCUUGGCGCCAGUAACUUUUCAAAGCCUCUGAAGAUCGACCAAGCCCAUCGCACAUGUCUGGUUGGUCUACAAACUCGACCACGAACAAUGGUAUCCUAUCACGGAUAAAGAGAAGAUUCUGCAUCUUGGACGGCUGUCUUCACCUAUGAUAAACAACGAUGCGCUAAUUCUCAUCUUUCCCGAUUUCACAUCCGACGUCCUGAAGUAAGGAAACUAACAAAAAAGGCCAAAAAUCACCACGGUUUGCUUUUCCCAGCUCGCCUUCUCAUGACAUAUAAUUAACAGAAACAUGUUUUUGAAUAUGUUGAGAGGGCACAGACCUUCGAUGACCCUGUUACAGUGGUGAUCAAUUCUGUGCCAUCUCCAUAACUCUCCGUAUAUUGGUCAAAACUUUUACUUUUAACUGUUUGGUUCUUUAAGCCCGCAUGACAAAUGUGAGUAUAAUUUCUUACAAUUGUCAGUGCAACCAUUUCGCUCGCAUUUGCGACUAAAAAUAGAUGUGUGCGAACUGGAAAAUUUAUUUAGUCGCACAUGUGCGAUUUUUUAACUUAAUUCACUUGGCCACGGUAAAACAACAUGCUCUUCACACUAACUUACCGUACGUUCACACCGAAAGCGGCGAGAGCG